GUGUGCUUACAAGUAGUCAGAGCCCGUUAAUGGGUGAUGGCGUGCCUUUUGUAGAAUGAACCGGCGAGUUACGAUCUGAUGCAAGGUUAAGCAGAAAAUGUGGAGCCGUAGCGAAAGCGAGUCUGAAUAGGGCGAAUGAGUAUUUGGUCGUAGACCCGAAACCAGGUGAUCUACCCUUGGUCAGGUUGAAGUUCAGGUAACACUGAAUGGAGGACCGAACCGACUUACGUUGAAAAGUGAGCGGAUGAACUGAGGGUAGCGGAGAAAUUCCAAUCGAACUUGGAGAUAGCUGGUUCUCUCCGAAAUAGCUUUAGGGCUAGCCUCAAGUGAUGAUUAUUGGAGGUAGAGCACUGUUUGGACGAGGGGCCCCUCUCGGGUUACCGAAUUCAGACAAACUCCGAAUGCCAAAUAAUUUAACUUGGGAGUCAGAAUGUGGGUGAUAAGGUCCAUAUUCGAAAGGGAAACAGCCCAGACCACCAGCUAAGGUCCCAAAAUAUAUGUUAAGUGGAAAAGGAUGUGGCGUUGCCCAGACAACUAGGAUGUUGGCUUAGAAGCAGCCAUCAUUUAAAGAGUGCGUAAUAGCUCACUAGUCGAGUGACACUGCGCCGAAAAUGUACCGGGGCUAAACAUAU
Molecule: ribosomal RNA, 632 nt
Filed under: Staphylococcus pseudintermedius
Lineage: Bacteria; Bacillati; Bacillota; Bacilli; Caryophanales; Staphylococcaceae
Description: partial 23S ribosomal RNA
Rfam family: Bacterial large subunit ribosomal RNA
Source: RNAcentral